This is a long non-coding RNA of Schistocerca cancellata (South American locust), 382 nucleotides long. RefSeq lists it as uncharacterized. The transcript is spliced from 3 exons. NCBI's taxonomy places the organism in Eukaryota, Metazoa, Arthropoda, Insecta, Orthoptera, Acrididae. The record is from RefSeq and is a predicted model, not a curated record.
UUUUCGAGUCCCAGUGAGCCCAAUUUCUCUAAUUGCUAUGGACUGCUGUGUGACUCUAUCUGCAUGUUUGGAAAGAGAAUAUAUGAAGAAACACUUGCAGAGAAAAUUGACUAGUAAGUACAAGUCCUGAGAAGAAACAGAUGGAAUACUGGAAAAAAUAACCAUAAACGAGGAACAAUAAACAUGAUAUAUGAAAAAGUUUCAGAAAAUGUUAUUCAAAGAACAGAAGAAAUAGGUCAGGUAGCACACAGUUAAAUGAAACUUAAGUAACAGGCAGACACAGUACAAACUAUCCCUAUAUGUUCAGCAGUACCAGACUCCUUUGCAGAAUUUCUAAGAAAACUAGAAGAAGGAGAUAGAGAAAGUGAUACACAGCAAGCAG